UAUGAACGCUGGCGGCAGGCCUAACACAUGCAAGUCGAGCGGACCUUUCGGGGUCAGCGGCGGACGGGUGAGUAACGCGUGGGAACGUACCCUUUUCUACGGAAUAGCCCAGGGAAACUUGGAUUAAUACCGUAUACGCCCGGUAACGGGGAAAGAUUUAUCGGAGAAGGAUCGGCCCGCGUUGGAUUAGGUAGUUGGUGGGGUAAUGGCCUACCAAGCCGACGAUCCAUAGCUGGUUUGAGAGGAUGACCAGCCACACUGGGACUGAGACACGGCCCAG
This 280-nucleotide ribosomal RNA is filed under the name uncultured bacterium. Its description in RNAcentral is "partial 16S ribosomal RNA". It matches the Rfam family "Bacterial small subunit ribosomal RNA", at positions 29 to 334 of the family's 1533-position model. The record is from RNAcentral.